Molecule: long non-coding RNA, 2882 nt
Filed under: Setaria viridis
Lineage: Eukaryota; Viridiplantae; Streptophyta; Magnoliopsida; Poales; Poaceae
Description: long non-coding RNA (SVIR_LNC003514)
Source: RNAcentral
CCUGUAUUCUUCUCAUGGGCGCCGCGCCAAGCUCGAAAAUGGCCGCUGGAAGUUGGAACACAAAUUUCAGGUGGGCUCCUUGCCCCCGUUGGUUCAUAAAAAAAAUUAAAUAAAGGAAAAGCAAAUGAACCUACACACACGACCGGUACCACAUCACUUUGCAUAAAGGGACGCAAUCUAUGCAAUAAUGACAACAUAUUACAUUUGAACACGCGUGGACAUGAUUUGACCACACGAGGAACACGUGUCCAAGGAUGACGCAGCAUAUGUGCGCCAUGCAAUUUUCUUUGCUGGUUGUGGUAUAUGAAUGUACACGUUUUCACGCGAGUUCAGACAACAUAAACCAUUCUCAUGAAAUACACAUGAGAGCCAUUCUUAUCAAAGAAAUAAUUUUUACUAUGCACCUAGAUACAAUAUAUAUCUAGAUGAAUCUAAAAAAGAUAAAACAAUCUACAAUUUGAAAUGGAGCGAGCAGUGGGAUAUCGAUUAUACAGUUUAUUAUUAGAGCACGUUACACGUACAAAGGAAUAAUAGAUCGACGGAAAUAGACAUAACAAUAGCAGAAUAGACGAAGACUACUACACACACUUCAUAUACAUGUAUAUAUAUAUAUAUAUAUCUCUUCCCAUCUCCAUGGCUCUCAUCUCUCCUUCAUUAGCAGCUUCCAUGAGCAGUUAAUUACUGGUAAUUAGUACUUAUAAUUACUCGCCAUCGUUGCUCAUGACCAGCUGCAAGUCGCGUGCGAAUAUAUAAGCGUAUUAUGCAUGGGCCAUGCACGCUUGAGUCGUCUAGGCCACCCCGACGGCGGGGCUUUGGCGGCUCACGAGGACGUCGACCACGUCCCUGUUCGGCGCCGCCCUCGUCGCCGCCGCCACUUCAGCAGCGCAGGUCCUGGUGGGAAGCCCCAUCUCGCGCACCGGGUGCACGCCGGAGCUCCGCUCGGGGAGGGCCGGGCUGAGCUUGGCGAUGUUGACGAGGACGUGCUCGUCGGCGGCUGUCGGUAGCUUGCCCGCUUCCUUGCCGUCGGCGACCACCGGUGUCUUGUUCAUGUAGAACACGUACAGGACCAUCUGCACCACGCCGAAGGUGAAUCCAAGGAUGUUCGGAAGCUGCAGAGAUCACAUAAUUUUUUAUCGAUCAGUAUCAGUAAGACGCAUCGUACGUUAACUCACCAAAUUAAGCGACUAAAAAAGGUAUGUGAUGUGAGAAGCAAUUAGUUACCGCGACGUAUUUGUCCUUGAUGAGGAGGCCGUAGAGGAACCAGACGACGGCGCUGAGGGUGAGCGUGAGGGAGAGGGAGAAGGGCAUGUACUCCACGCUCCUCGUCUGGAUCACGCGCUUCUGCACGAACACAAACGCAUGCGAUCGAUGGCCAUUAGCACGAGCUCACCAUGGCACAACAGGAUACCAAGUAAAGGAUCGACGAUCGGAGUGCUCAGUACUCACGAUAAUGCUGAGCGGCGCGACGAAGACGCCGACGGAGAAGGCGACGCAGAUCCAUCCGAGGGUGACGAUGCGCUUGUCACCAUGGAAGACGAGGAGGGUGAAGAGGAGGAUGGCCCCGAAGAAGCCGACGUUGAGGCCAAGCAUGAUCUUGGCAGUGAACCACCUGGCUUUCUUGUCCGCGUAGACGAAGUACAAGAUGACGUAGAUGCUCUCGAUGACGAAGCCGGCGACGUUGAUGGUGAUGAGCAGGACCUCGUUGGAUUUGAUCAGCGCGUAGAAGAUCCACAGCAUCGCGCUGAACAGAGCCACCACGUAGGGAACCGACUGGAAACCCUCCGUCGACUUGCUCUUGUAGAUGCGGUAGAACGUCGGGCUGCACAUACAAAUACAAAGAAUGCAAAUAUGGUUAAUUUCAAAACAUCAAUUUCAAACGCGUAGCAAUGUUAAGCUAAUAUAUAUAUAUAUACACACGAAAUUAGAAUUUAAUGAGGUACUUACAUUGGGGCCAGGAAGGUCAUGAAGGAGAUGACGUUGCCUGCAGCACAAAAGGGCGCCAAGGAUCAGAUGUUUGCAAAAGUUGGCAAAGACCCCAAAGCUGGGGAUAAGAUGUGAUGAGGUGACACGUUACAUCUGCGGUCUAAUUUUCCUUCUUUUGCGAGCAAAGGUUGCCGAGGCUUUAUUUUAUUUUAGUUUAGUUUUGAUAAACGAGCUCUUUUGUGUUGCGGUGCACUAUGACGUCAUCUGUGCUACACAGUAGCAGCAGUGGCCUGACUACGUACGUCACCCAAGCGGCAAGAUAGAUGCUGCAAAAGGAUCGAUUGCUAGCUCGACAGGUAGUCCAUGAUAAGAAAUGUAUAGGCUAACAAAAGCAUCGAUCAAUCAUGACAAAGAUGAUAAAAAUCUAUUGAUCUAUGCUUAAUGUGUGGUGCCACUGGCACUUGUGACUAUAAUCACUUUAUGACCACAUGAAGCUUCUCAUUUUUGGAAAAUAUUUGGAAGCUGCGCAAGCUCGACUACGUAUAAUUGGUUCAGUGAUCACUGGAUCGGAGUGCAACUCCCACUAGUAAUAAGUAGCCUGCAUGUGCUGCUCUAGCAACUAGGCAUAGCAAUUUGUAAAGUGCAACCGAGUAGAACAGAAUUGAAAGGAUGAGUGAUUCGUGGGCUUGCAACUCUUGUUUUGUGAAAGGGGUAUUAUUUACCUAGGAGGCCGAAGGUGAAUGCCCAGGGAUGCUGAAGGGAAAAGCCAGCCAUUGUGAUACAAGAGGAUCUAAAAAUAGUAUGUCUGCAAGAGCUCCAACACAAGCUACACAGCUAAUUGAACAGUUGCUGGAAUUAAGGUGAUGAGCUUGGCUUUGGAACUACUUCUCUUCCUCUCUAACCCUUUGGCCCCUGCAGGAGGGAAGGGAGAGUUCUGAGGAGGAGUUCUCUGUGUUGGC